RNAcentral lists this ribosomal RNA (253 nucleotides) under uncultured bacterium. Its description in RNAcentral is "partial 16S ribosomal RNA". It matches the Rfam family "Bacterial small subunit ribosomal RNA", at positions 524 to 776 of the family's 1533-position model. The record is from RNAcentral.
UACGGAGGGGGCGAGCGUUGUUCGGAAUCACUGGGUGUAAAGCGUGCGCAGGCGGUUAUGUAAGACAGGUGUGAAAUCCCCGGGCUUAACCUGGGAACUGCAUUUGUGACUGCAUAGCUAGAGUACGGUAGAGGGGGAUGGAAUUCCGCGUGUAGCAGUGAAAUGCGUAGAUAUGCGGAGGAACACCGAUGGCGAAGGCAAUCCCCUGGACCUGUACUGACGCUCAUGCACGAAAGCGUGGGGAGCAAACAGG